Rhododendron vialii is the source of this 1009-nucleotide long non-coding RNA. RefSeq lists it as uncharacterized. The record is from RefSeq and is a predicted model, not a curated record. NCBI's taxonomy places the organism in Eukaryota, Viridiplantae, Streptophyta, Magnoliopsida, Ericales, Ericaceae. The transcript is spliced from 2 exons.
AAUCUAGAGGAAAACCUUUCUUAAAAGAGAUUGAAGCCCUAGCUAUAGGAGGUAAAAUACAUGUUUUUUUUGUCCUUAAUCUCUUAACUUCCAUGUUUAAUUUCAUACCUUAACAUAGGGUUUGGAGUUUAGAGGCCAUGGGAACCCUUGUUAAUUGAAUUUUGGGAGAAUUCAUGGUGAACUCUUGAGGAUUAAUAUGAAUUUCAGAAGGAUUGCCUAGUUUAAGAAUUCUGAAGAAUUGAAAAUCUUGCAUCUGACUGAUUUUAGGGACUUUUAUUGAGGUACUUCUAAAACUCCAAAAAUUAUGAGAUUUUUACUGAGACUUCCUUUAUGUGUCUUUCAUGUAUGGUAAAAAUUUCAGACGAUAACUCAAAGUAUUGAGUUCCAUAGAAAUUCGUAACCUAACAGCACUCAAAUUCGUCACUGUGCAGUCAGCGUUGUCACAUGUUAGGAAAACGAUUGUAUCUUUUAGCACGAGCAUCGAAAACGUGCGCCAUUUUUUGAUUUUGAAACUAGACACAUAGACCUUUAAAAAUAUGUAAAGGUUGCUCCUUAAUUAUGCCUGAGCAAAAUCAGGUUUUGGUUUGAAGUUGUCAAAAUUUCAGAUUCUGUAAUUGUUCUCUCGAGGCUCGCUAUUUAACUUUAUAUUUGACCCUAGAGUCUUGAUUAGUAAUACUUAGGACAUCGAGAGAUUAGGAUACGAUUAGAAUAUCUUGAAUUGUAUCUAAUAUAUGUUCUUGAUGCUUAUUUGAUAUAGGAAGUUUUGUGAAAGCUUGGAGUUGAGGAAUUGAAGAGUUGGAUAGCGUGACACUUGUUUUGUGGAGUCAGGUCUUAUGGUUAUUUUAUAGACAGAAGAUGUGUUUAGAUUACUUAUUAAAUUCUAUAACCAUUGUAAGUAGCUUACUAAACCUCAUAAUUAAGCACAGCUCUGAGGUGUGUUUCGGGUAUCCUUAGCCUUUGUCAGUGUAAGUUGUCGUUUUAUUAGAUUGCACAGAAUAUGCUUCCGCUA